RNAcentral lists this ribosomal RNA (254 nucleotides) under uncultured bacterium. RNAcentral's name for it is "partial 16S ribosomal RNA". It matches the Rfam family "Bacterial small subunit ribosomal RNA", at positions 524 to 776 of the family's 1533-position model. The record is from RNAcentral.
UACGGGGGGAGCAAGCGUUGUUCGGAUUUACUGGGCGUAAAGGGCGCGUAGGCGGCCAGCACAAGUCAGUUGUGAAAUCUCCGAGCUUAACUCGGAAAGGUCAACUGAUACUGUGCGGCUAGAGUGCGGAAGGGGCAACUGGAAUUCUUGGUGUAGCGGUGAAAUGCGUAGAUAUCAGGAGGAACACCAGCGGCGAAGGCGGCGCUCUGGGCCGGAACUGACGCUGAGGAGCGAAAGCGUGGGUAGCAAACAGG